Molecule: ribosomal RNA, 1493 nt
Filed under: metagenome
Description: bacterial SSU rRNA
Rfam family: Bacterial small subunit ribosomal RNA
Source: RNAcentral
AGAGUUUGAUCCUGGCUCAGAUUGAACGCUGGCGGCAUGCCUUACACAUGCAAGUCGAACGGCAGCACGGGAGCAAUCCUGGUGGCGAGUGGCGAACGGGUGAGUAAUAUAUCGGAACGUGCCCAGUCGUGGGGGAUAACGCAGCGAAAGCUGUGCUAAUACCGCAUACGAUCUCUGGAUGAAAGCGGGGGACCGCAAGGCCUCGCGCGAUUGGAGCGGCCGAUAUCAGAUUAGCUAGUUGGUGGGGUAAAAGCCCACCAAGGCGACGAUCUGUAGCUGGUCUGAGAGGACGACCAGCCACACUGGAACUGAGACACGGUCCAGACUCCUACGGGAGGCAGCAGUGGGGAAUUUUGGACAAUGGGCGCAAGCCUGAUCCAGCAAUGCCGCGUGCAGGAUGAAGGCCUUCGGGCUGUAAACUGCUUUUGUACGGAACGAAACGGCUCUUUCUAAUAAAGGGGGCUAAUGACGGUACCGUAAGAAUAAGCACCGGCUAACUACGUGCCAGCAGCCGCGGUAACACGUAGGGUGCGAGCGUUAAUCGGAAUUACUGGGCGUAAAGCGCGCGCAGGCGGUAAUGUAAGACAGAUGUGAAAUCCCCGGGCUUAACCUGGGACCUGCAUUUGUGACUGCAUUGCUGGAGUGCGGCAGAGGGGGAUGGAAUUCCGCGUGUAGCAGUGAAAUGCGUAGAUAUGCGGAGGAACACCGAUGGCGAAGGCAAUCCCCUGGGCCUGCACUGACGCUCAUGCACGAAAGCGUGGGGAGCAGACAGGAUUAGAUACCCUGGUAGUCCACGCCCUAAACGAUGUCAACUGGUUGUUGGGUCUUCACUGACUCAGUAACGAAGCUAACGCGUGAAGUUGACCGCCUGGGGAGUACGGCCGCAAGGUUGAAACUCAAAGGAAUUGACGGGGACCCGCACAAGCGGUGGAUGAUGUGGUUUAAUUCGAUGCAACGCGAAAAACCUUACCCACCUUUGACAUGUACGGAAUUUGCCAGAGAUGGCUUAGUGCUCGAAAGAGAGCCGUAACACAGGUGCUGCAUGGCUGUCGUCAGCUCGUGUCGUGAGAUGUUGGGUUAAGUCCCGCAACGAGCGCAACCCUUGUCAUUAGUUGCUACAUUUAGUUGGGCACUCUAAUGAGACUGCCGGUGAUAAACCGGAGGAAGGUGGGGAUGACGUCAAGUCCUCAUGGCCCUUAUAGGAGGGGCUACACACGUCAUACAAUGGCUGGUACAAAGGGUUGCCAACCCGCGAGGGGGAGCUAAUCCCAUAAAACCAGUCGUAGUCCGGAUCGCAGUCUGCAACUCGACUGCGUGAAGUCGGAAUCGCUAGUAAUCGUGGAUCAGAAUGUCACGGUGAAUACGUUCCCGGGUCUUGUACACACCGCCCGUCACACCAUGGGAGCGGGUUCUGCCAGAAGUAGUUAGCCUAACCGCAAGGAGGGCGAUUACCACGGCAGGGUUCGUGACUGGGGUGAAGUCGUAACAAGGUA